RNAcentral lists this long non-coding RNA (917 nucleotides) under Olea europaea subsp. europaea. Lineage: Eukaryota; Viridiplantae; Streptophyta; Magnoliopsida; Lamiales; Oleaceae. The record is from RNAcentral.
CUAACUGCUAAUCAAAAUCAUCAAAAUCAUCAUCCAAUGCUCACGGAUCCAACAAACUCCUUGCUGAACAUAUGCGACCGCACCAUAAAAUUAAGCAAAGUUUGCUGCGUGACACUCUGUAGUGGCUCUCAACUGUGUUAUCUUAGACAUCAUACGAGCCUGCUGCUCGAUCAUCACAGACAUCUGUCCCAUGAGAGCUAAAGAAUGGUCUAUGAGACUAGAAGUAGAUGAUGAAAUAGGAUCAACAAGUAGUGGUAGAGCAGGGGUAGAAGAUGAUGGAAUGUUAGUGGUUAAAGUAUGAAUAUCGAAUCUAGACCAAUAGGAUAAGCUAGUACAGUCAAAUGAAUUGGCUCAACUGGCUCGAAAGAAGCGAAAGAUUAAGGAACAUGAGACAUAUUCUGUGAAAUGGUAGUAUGGCCAAUAGGCCAGGAAACCCUCCCCAUAAUCCCAUCAGGAAAAGUAGACCUAAGAUUUGUCGAGACGAUAAAUCAAGCAUGGCAAGGAAGACCAAUCCUAGUACCAGUCACUUGAAAAGUACGUAAAAUUUGAUGAAAUAUGAUAAAAGAAAGGUCUAUAACGUAGCCAUACAAGGGCACAUAAAGAAAUCUAGCCUUAUUCAUGGGCAAAAAAGAGGUGUGGAAGACUGGCCACAAAUUUGUGCAGACAUUACUCAACAAAAUCAGUCUAUUAGUAAAUAGGGAUCCAGUAAAAGUCGCAGAUAGACUCUCUCCGGAGGAUGGUUAAACAGUGUCGAUCGGAUAAGAGAGUCCGCAGUGAGGAUGCCAAUAGAUAAAUAUUUAAAUAACGGAUGGACAACCUGGGGAAUGUGGAUAAUACUAGAUAUGACAUUAAGAGUGAUUUUAGGCAUCUUACCUUAAAGAAAACCCUAAAGGUUGACCCGCUAAUAUCAUGUAAUA